This 388-nucleotide ribosomal RNA is filed under the name uncultured bacterium. RNAcentral describes it as "bacterial SSU rRNA". It matches the Rfam family "Bacterial small subunit ribosomal RNA", at positions 28 to 417 of the family's 1533-position model. The record is from RNAcentral.
GACGAACGCUGGCGGCGUGCUUAACACAUGCAAGUCGAGCGGUAAGGCCCUUUCGGGGGUACACGAGCGGCGAACGGGUGAGUAACACGUGGGUGACCUGCCCUCAGCUCUGGGAUAAGCCUGGGAAACCGGGUCUAAUACUGGAUAUGACUCCAUGGCGCAUGUUGUGGGGUGGAAAGCCUUGUGCGGCUGAGGAUGGGCCCGCGGCCUAUCAGCUUGUUGGUGGGGUGANGGCCUACCAAGGCGACGACGGGUAGCCGGCCUGAGAGGGCGACUGGCCACACUGGGACUGAGACACGGCCCAGACUCCUACGGGAGGCAGCAGUGGGGAAUCUUGCGCAAUGGGCGAAAGCCUGACGCAGCGACGCCGCGUGAGGGAUGACGGCCU